AAAUUACCCCUGCUCUGAUUUGGAUCAUAUCUCAUGUGAGGAGGAUGUGAUUCGUCAUGCAGCAGCACAGAUAAAUACCACAAAGACCUUUGAAAUCUGUGUGUCACGAGACAACAUGGUUGAGAGGGGUCUGAAGCUGUGGAAACGUCAAAAAAUGGGAAGCCCAGUCAAUCCCUUGAAAAUCAUCUUCCUGGGAGAGCCAGGAGUUGACACAGGGGCACUGAGGAAAGAAUUUCUGUCCAGUGGGUAGUUUGCUUUAAUCAUACAUUUAGUUGAAAUGUA
Cyprinus carpio (common carp) is the source of this 282-nucleotide long non-coding RNA. RefSeq lists it as uncharacterized. The transcript has 2 exons. Lineage: Eukaryota; Metazoa; Chordata; Actinopteri; Cypriniformes; Cyprinidae. The record is from RefSeq and is a predicted model, not a curated record.